AUUGAACGCUGGCGGCAGGCUUAACACAUGCAAGUCGAGCGGAGAGAGGUAGCUUGCUACUGAUCUUAGCGGCGGACGGGUGAGUAAUGCUUAGGAAUCUGCCUAUUAGUGGGGGACAACAUUUCGAAAGGAAUGCUAAUACCGCAUACGUCCUACGGGAGAAAGCAGGGGAUCUUCGGACCUUGCGCUAAUAGAUGAGCCUAAGUCGGAUUAGCUAGUGGGUGGGGUAAAGGCCUACCAAGGCGACGAUCUGUAGCGGGUCUGAGAGGAUGAUCCGCCACACUGGGACUGAGACACGGCCCAGACUCCGACGGGAGGCAGCAGUGGGGAAUAUUGGACAAUGGGCGGAAGCCUGAUCCAGCCAUGCCGCGUGUGUGAAGAAGGCCUUAUGGUUGUAAAGCACUUUAAGCGAGGAGGAGGCUACUUUAGUUAAUACCUAGAGAUAGUGGACGUUACUCGCAGAAUAAGCACCGGCUAACUCUGUGCCAGCCGCCGCGGUAA
This 501-nucleotide ribosomal RNA is filed under the name uncultured bacterium. RNAcentral describes it as "partial 16S ribosomal RNA". It matches the Rfam family "Bacterial small subunit ribosomal RNA", at positions 30 to 523 of the family's 1533-position model. The record is from RNAcentral.